Molecule: small RNA, 590 nt
Filed under: Pongo abelii (Sumatran orangutan)
Lineage: Eukaryota; Metazoa; Chordata; Mammalia; Primates; Hominidae
Description: retained intron
Source: RNAcentral
ACAGAAGGACGUCUGCCUCUGACUCAGUAUGUCACAUUUAACAAGAGGCCAGAGCUUGUCCAAAAUGGCUGUCCAAAAACGACCCCACACUUGCGUUAGAAGAUGAUACCUUUUUCAGGGACAGUUUUCUCUCUUGGCUCCUGUCCCGCUGGCCCUCUGUCUGCCUGUGUCCCUGACCAUGGCUCCCUGCAGUACCCUUUAACGAUUUAUCAGUAAGACUGUUGAGCGCAUAACUGCCCAAGAUGCCUGUCCCUCCCCCUCCAGCACCACCGCCACCCCCGACGUUUGCACUGGCCAAUACAGAGAAGCCUACUUUGAAUAAGACAGAGCAGGCUGGGAGAAAUGCUCUCCUUUCUGAUAUCAGCAAAGGGAAGAAACUAAAGAAGACAGUCACCAAUGACAGAAGUGCACCAAUAUUGGACAGUAAGUAAAAAAAGGCUAUUUACCAUGGAGAGGAACGGUUUAUGGCCUAAUAAUCAACCUAACCUCACCCCUCAAUUUUUUUUUUUUUUUUUUUUGGUUAACAACAGCUGCAAAGCUAGCAAAAUAAGGGACUGUAUCACUCCCUGUAGGCCACAACUUUGGCUUGG